GUUGUUAGUUUCAAUGUGGCUCAAUGUGUGCAUAUAGUGCCCGUUCACAUGACAAUGCAAGCUCGGUAAUGCAGUAGUAUUUUGAUUCUGCAAGUAGCUCAGCUAUUUCUUUGUUAGUUUCGGGUAAUGGGACACUGCCAUCGCGCAAGAAGUUGAGUAUGAUUCCAAAAUGGUUUCCACAGCGAUCUAUUAGUAUCCAACCUUCUGAAUCAGUUAGCACCUCCAUGCGACCACUAAACAUAGCGCUUAGCAUUGUAUCAUUAUGCUUCGUCAGUGUUCCGAUUGUAGUAUAAUAUAAGCGACCACCAACAUUCAGCUUGACAUACUGAGACGAAUGCCCUUUUAACAGCACUUUCUGAUCACCGGACAUGGCUUCAGACUGCUUGGCAUGAAGCACAAAUUGGUGGCUACUUUCUGCAGGUGCCAAAAUCACUUUGUGUUAAAAAUACAAUUUUCCUAAAAUUGAAAAUGUGAAAAAAACCAGAAGAGCACUUACACAAAUCGGCAGUUAAGGCUAAUGGCAGACAUUCUUAGACUUCGAUAUAUCAGCCAAGACACAUACACGCACAAUGCGACACAACGCGUUGCAACGCUGCUAGGAAAGCCCUGUAAACUGAUGUGACGCUCUCCGUUGGAUGGAACAACAUUGGCAACACUGGCACACUCUUAUUUCGAUAUUUGGAAUGAUGGCAUCUUCUACUUCUACGAAUCACAAGGCGACAACUCUACUUAAACUGGCGAACAAUCCUCUACUCUGGUACACAGCCAUCCUUGACGGACAGCGUACAGCUUUUGACGGGCUUUCCUAGGUUUUUAUAUCGUUAACAUCCAAGAGGUUACUUCACGCAAAUAUUCACGCACUACACAUUCACAAUCUCUCGUUAAAAAACUCUGGGCUGAUGGCGAUGCAGUUGGCAUGGCGAACGCACAUUUUAAUGUUUAAUUCUAGCAUAUUAAUAAAUAUAUUGAAAGAA
Molecule: long non-coding RNA, 974 nt
Organism: Drosophila miranda
Lineage: Eukaryota; Metazoa; Arthropoda; Insecta; Diptera; Drosophilidae
Exons: 3
Source: RefSeq, a predicted model, not a curated record